GAGUUUGAUCCUGGCUCAGGACGAACGCUGGCGGCGCGCCUAACACAUGCAAGUCGAACGGAGCUGAGAGGAGCUUGCUUUUCUUAGCUUAGUGGCGAACGGGUGAGUAACGCGUGAGUAACCUGCCCUGGAGUGGGGGACAACAGUUGGAAACGACUGCUAAUACCGCAUAAGCCCACGAUCCGGCAUCGGAUUGAGGGAAAAGGAUUUAUUCGCUUCAGGAUGGACUCGCGUCCAAUUAGCUAGUUGGUGAGGUAACGGCCCACCAAGGCGACGAUUGGUAGCCGGACUGAGAGGUUGAACGGCCACAUUGGAACUGAGACACGGUCCAAACUCCUACGGGAGGCAGCAGUGGGGAAUAUUGCACAAUGGGGGAAACCCUGAUGCAGCAACGCCGCGUGAGUGAAGAAGUAUUUCGGUAUGUAAAGCUCUAUCAGCAGGGAAGAUAAUGACGGUACCUGACUAAGAAGCUCCGGCUAAAUACGUGCCAGCAGCCGCGGUAAUAC
This 506-nucleotide ribosomal RNA is filed under the name uncultured bacterium. Its description in RNAcentral is "bacterial SSU rRNA". It matches the Rfam family "Bacterial small subunit ribosomal RNA", at positions 9 to 526 of the family's 1533-position model. The record is from RNAcentral.